CUCCUUCAGGACACCCAUGAUUACGUGUGCCCACCAGAUGCUAAGGGAUUACAAAGAACGAAAGGAGGUUACAACUUAGCUAGACAGAAGAAAGGAAGAGUAUACAACACAGCGCAGUCUAGGUGAACAGAGCUGAAGAAGGGUGGUGUAGUAGUUCCUGUUCCUUUCCUGCCUCACUUCCUGGCCUCAAGUGAUCUACCUGCCUGGGCCUCCCAAAGUGCAGGAUUACAGCUGAUGACUCCCAGAAUGUCCUGACUGCAAGGAACAUGUACUAUGGACCCAUCAGAAGUGAGCUCAUUUUCUAAACAUCUGUGUUGCCAACAGGCACACACCUAAAGUUUCCUCCUAUGGCCACCUGUGGAUCACCCUGACCUUCAAAGCUGGUAGCCAAAGUUCUGCUUCCACCCCCACCAUCUGCAAGGUGGCACUUUUCAGUCUUGAUGGAUAAAUGUUAAAAAUCACAACCAACAAUUCUUAAUCAUCCCUAUGAUUUUCAAAGGAAAACGCUACUGUAUUGUCAAACUUUUUCUCUACAGGCUAAAAUAAAAAUAAAUGACUACUGAAAAAA
This 568-nucleotide long non-coding RNA is filed under the name Homo sapiens (human). RNAcentral's name for it is "LPIN2 antisense RNA 2 (LPIN2-AS2)". Lineage: Eukaryota; Metazoa; Chordata; Mammalia; Primates; Hominidae. The record is from RNAcentral.